UACAGAGGUCCCAAGCGUUGUUCGGAUUCACUGGGCGUAAAGGGUGCGUAGGCGGUUGGGUAAGUCUGUUGUUAAAUCUCCGGGCUCAACCCGGAAAUGGCAUUGGAUACUAUCUAGCUCGAGGAUCGGAGGGGGGACUGGAAUUCUUGGUGUAGCAGUGAAAUGCGUAGAUAUCAAGAGGAACACCAGUGGCGAAGGCGAGUCCCUGGACGAUUCCUGACACUGAGGCACGAAAGCUAGGGGAGCAAACAGG
RNAcentral lists this ribosomal RNA (253 nucleotides) under uncultured bacterium. RNAcentral's name for it is "partial 16S ribosomal RNA". It matches the Rfam family "Bacterial small subunit ribosomal RNA", at positions 524 to 776 of the family's 1533-position model. The record is from RNAcentral.